This 74-nucleotide transfer RNA is filed under the name Pelecanus crispus (Dalmatian pelican). It matches the Rfam family "tRNA". From Rfam's summary of the family: Transfer RNA (tRNA) molecules are approximately 80 nucleotides in length. Their secondary structure includes four short double-helical elements and three loops (D, anti-codon, and T loops). Further hydrogen bonds mediate the characteristic L-shaped molecular structure. tRNAs have two regions of fundamental functional importance: the anti-codon, which is responsible for specific mRNA codon recognition, and the 3' end, to which the tRNAs corresponding amino acid is attached (by aminoacyl-tRNA synthetases). tRNAs cope with the degeneracy of the genetic code in two manners: having more than one tRNA (with a specific anti-codon) for a particular amino acid; and 'wobble' base-pairing, i.e. permitting non-standard base-pairing at the 3rd anti-codon position. The record is from Rfam by way of RNAcentral. Lineage: Eukaryota; Metazoa; Chordata; Aves; Pelecaniformes; Pelecanidae.
ACUAUGUUAGCUCAGUUGGUUAGAGCAUGGUGCUAAUAACACCAAGUUCACAGGUUCAAUCCCUGCUUACUGCA